CAUAAGCCCACAGGUCGGCAUCGACCAGAGGGAAAAGGAGCAAUCCGCUUUGAGAUGGCCUCGCGUCCGAUUAGCUAGUUGGUGAGGUAACGGCCCACCAAGGCAACGAUCGGUAGCCGGACUGAGAGGUUGAACGGCCACAUUGGGACUGAGACACGGCCCAGACUCCUACGGGAGGCAGCAGUGGGGAAUAUUGCACAAUGGGGGAAACCCUGAUGCAGCGACGCCGCGUGGAGGAAGAAGGUCUUCGGAUUGUAAACUCCUGUUGUUGAGGAAGAUAAUGACGGUACUCAACAAGGAAGUGACGGCUAACUACGUGCCAGCAGCCGCGGUAAAACGUAGGUCACAAGCGUUGUCCGGAAUUACUGGGUGUAAAGGGAGCGCAGGCGGGAAGACAAGUUGGAAGUGAAAUCUAUGGGCUCAACCCAAAACUGCUUUCAAAACUGUUUUUCUUGAGUAGUGCAGAGGUAGGCGGAAUUCCCGGUGUAGCGGUGGAAUGCGUAGAUAUCGGGAGGAACACCAGUGGCGAAGGCGGCCUACUGGGCACCAACUGACGCUGAGGCUCGAAAGUGUGGGUAGCAAACAGGAUUAGAUACCCUGGUAGUCCACACCGUAAACGAUGAUUACUAGGUGUUGGAGGAUUGACCCCUUCAGUGCCGCAGUUAACACAAUAAGUAAUCCACCUGGGGAGUACGACCGCAAGGUUGAAACUCAAAGGAAUUGACGGGGGCCCGCACAAGCAGUGGAGUAUGUGGUUUAAUUCGACGCAACGCGAAGAACCUUACCAAGUCUUGACAUCCUGCGACGCACAUAGAAAUAUGUGUUUCCUUCGGGACGCAGAGACAGGUGGUGCAUGGUUGUCGUCAGCUCGUGUCGUGAGAUGUUGGGUUAAGUCCCGCAACGAGCGCAACCCUUACUGUCAGUUACUACGCAAGAGGACUCUGGCAGGACUGCCGUUGACAAAACGGAGGAAGGUGGGGAUGACGUCAAAUCAUCAUGCCCUUUAUGACUUGGGCUACACACGUACUACAAUGGCGUUAAACAAAGAGAAGCAAGACUGCGAGGUGGAGCAAAACUCAGAAACAACGUCCCAGUUCGGACUGCAGGCUGCAACUCGCCUGCACGAAGUCGGAAUUGCUAGUAAUCGUGGAUCAGCAUGCCACGGUGAAUACGUUCCCGGGCCUUGUACACACCGCCCGUCACACCAUGAGAGCCGGGGGGACCCGAAGUCGGUAGUCUAACCGCAAGGAGAACGCCGCCGAAGGUAAAACUGGUGAUUGGGGUGAAGUCGAAACAAGGU
Molecule: ribosomal RNA, 1300 nt
Filed under: metagenome
Description: bacterial SSU rRNA
Rfam family: Bacterial small subunit ribosomal RNA
Source: RNAcentral